RNAcentral lists this ribosomal RNA (483 nucleotides) under uncultured bacterium. RNAcentral's name for it is "partial 16S ribosomal RNA". It matches the Rfam family "Bacterial small subunit ribosomal RNA", at positions 28 to 507 of the family's 1533-position model. The record is from RNAcentral.
GACGAACGCUGGCGGCGUGCUUAACACAUGCAAGUCGAACGCUGAAGCUCAGCUUUUGUUGGGUGGAUGAGUGGCGAACGGGUGAGUAACACGUGAGUAACCUGCCCCCUUCUUUGGGAUAACGCCCGGAAACGGGUGCUAAUACUGGAUAUUCACUGGUCUUCGCAUGGGGGUUGGUGGAAAGGGUUUUUCUGGUGGGGGAUGGGCUCGCGGCCUAUCAGCUUGUUGGUGGGGUGAUGGCCUACCAAGGCUUUGACGGGUAGCCGGCCUGAGAGGGUGACCGGUCACAUUGGGACUGAGAUACGGCCCAGACUCCUACGGGAGGCAGCAGUGGGGAACAUUGCACAAUGGGCGCAAGCCUGAUGCAGCGACGCCGCGUGAGGGAUGGAGGCCUUCGGGUUGUGAACCUCUUUCGCUCAUGGUCAAGCCGCAACAAUGGUUGUGGUGAGGGUAGUGGGUAAAGAAGCGCCGGCUAACUACGUG